Molecule: long non-coding RNA, 1695 nt
Organism: Pieris brassicae (large cabbage white)
Lineage: Eukaryota; Metazoa; Arthropoda; Insecta; Lepidoptera; Pieridae
Exons: 5
Source: RefSeq, a predicted model, not a curated record
CGGAAGGAAAUUGCAAAUAUUAACACUAAUUGUAUAUUCUAAAUUUGAAGCUCCUAUAUCUGCUUGAAAUAGAGUUUUGCAGUGAUUGACAAAAUUGAGAAUUUCGACGCUUAUUUGCUCGACUUUUUGGUCUGGCGGCCUCGGGGAAACAAAGGAGUAGAGAUACUCCUGUGGCCUCAAAUCAUUCACCAAAUAAAAUAAAAUAAAAAAUUCAGUCAAGCUUCUAAUUUAUUGUGAAAUAGAUACUUUUAGUAUUAAAAAAAAAAUACGAAUAUUUAACUUAAGUUUAAGUUAAUUCAGAUCAAUACUUUCUAUUAAUAUUUAAGUACAAUAGAAUCAUCCAUCAGUCACAUGGUUGUACAAAGGUAAAGGUAAUGAUACAAUAUCAAAAAAAAAUGUGUACUAGUCGGAAUUUUUCUAAAAACUGCACAUGAUAUCCACCCAUUAAUAAAUUGUGUUUUAAUUAUAAAUGAAACAAAAUAUAAAAGGGAUUACAUUUUAUCGUAAAGUUCCUUUAGGUAAUGCAAGAAUCAUAAACCAUGUCUUCAGCCUGAAAGCUGCUCCGAGGUGCGAUUGGCGAUGAUACAUUGUGGACACCCAACGGUGCAAGAACAACGCGUCCGAAGAACCACGGUAGUCGCUCAGCGGGGAGGCGACCCGCCUGUUCCUGAUUGACUCACCUCUGCCCGUAAGGAUGAGCAGUGUAUGUGAGGUGAGGUGAUCACCCAAUAGUGCAAAAACAACGUGUGCGAAAACCUCCACAACGGCGGCCCGCCAGGACCUGUACCUGGACGACCAUAGCGAAUCAGCGCACAUUCGCUGUUCAUCCUCUCGGCCACAGGUUGUGCUUACCUCUGCCCGUAAGUGUAUUUGAGAUUAUUCGUCAACGAAAUCACCAUCGAGGUGAUGAAUGAUCUGGGCAACACAUUCUUAAGUCUUUCACCACAACUCAAUUAGAUGCUUCAUGAGUUUCGAAGGGAGUUAAGCUGUUUGUUACUUAGUGCAGCUAGUAUCAGCAAGAAUUAUAUAAUUCAAUCUAUUUCUAUCAAUCUCUGAUGGAACAGAGGUCGUCCACACACACAACCCCUCAACAAAGAUUCAAGAAGCCGAAACAGUGAGAAACCAUCAAACCCUGAGGUAAUCUUUAAAAUUAACAAAAACCUAUCUUUAUAAAAACAUUAUAGUCCUCACAUAGAAUCUCCAUAAGCAACUUACAGUAAAUUCAACGGGACUGAAAUAAAGCUCAUGAACUUCAGUAUAAGUCACAAUGGCAGUCUGUUGCUAACAGACAGUGACAAACUUGUAAUCGUGUUAUGCUGGUUGUCCGCCAACUCCUCAGCGUUUAAUAAAAUGACGUGAAUCAAUGAAAAUAAUAUAAGGACCACUGUCUAUAUAGUGUUUUUUAUAAUAUAUCCUCCAUUCCACAUUUAUAAAUUAUUUUAAUAGUUAGUCAAGUUUAGUUUGAAAUAGUUUGGAAGACAAUAAUAUCUGUCCUCUUAUGGCUAAAAAAAUUUAAACGAAAGAAAUAUUUAAAUAUCAACAUACCGUCUCCAUUCGUCACAUCUUCCAUUAUUGUAAAUAUAAUUGAGAUUUAUAAUUAACAAUAUACUAACUAAUAUAUUUGUCGAGAGCUGACUUUACUGGAAUAAUUAAUAUUUUCCGUCUUUAAUGUAUAAAUGAUUUAUGAUUGUAACU